RNAcentral lists this ribosomal RNA (478 nucleotides) under uncultured bacterium. RNAcentral describes it as "partial 16S ribosomal RNA". It matches the Rfam family "Bacterial small subunit ribosomal RNA", at positions 28 to 523 of the family's 1533-position model. The record is from RNAcentral.
AACGAACGCUGGCGGCGUGCUUAACACAUGCAAGUCGAACGGUAAGGCCCUUCGGGGUACACGAGUGGCGAACGGGUGAGUAACACGUGGGUGAUCUGCCCUGCACUUCGGGAUAAGCCUGGGAAACUGGGUCUAAUACCGGAUAGGACCACUGCCUGCAUGGGUGGUGGUGGAAAGCUUUUGCGGUGUGGGAUGGGCCCGCGGCCUAUCAGCUUGUUGGGGGGGUGAUGGCCUACCAAGGCGACGACGGGUAGCCGGCCUGAGAGGGUGACCGGCCACACUGGGACUGAGAUACGGCCCAGACUCCUACGGGAGGCAGCAGUGGGGAAUAUUGCACAAUGGGCGCAAGCCUGAUGCAGCGACGCCGCGUGAGGGAUGACGGCCUUCGGGUUGUAAACCUCCUUCAGCACCGACGAAGCGCAAGUGACGGUAGGUGCAGAAGAAGGACCGGCCAACUACGUGCCAGCCGCCGCGGUAA